UCUGUCUGCCCUGGGAAGGGUCUUUCUGUCACUCAUUAGGAUUCUUAGCCACAGCUGUAGCCUGAGGAGAACAAAGAUGCAAGAUGAAGGGGACAGCGAAAGGAAAGCAGGUUUAUUAUUUUGCUGAAGGAAAGGAGGAUAAUGACAUAGCCAGAAGCCACAGAGGUCCAGUUUAUCUCUUCUGAAACUCAGAAGUUUGGUCUGAGAGAUUUGAAUGGGACUAUCCUUUUUCAUCAGGCCUGAAAAAUACUUGUAGGAGGGGUUAAAUGAGGGGCUACGGCUUUACUUCACAAUGGUAAAAUGUGGAUGUAUUUUGGCAUCUUCAAACCCUAUCCUUGGCUGCAUGAAGAGCAAGGAGCCACACUUCCCUCUAGAGGCCUUCACCAACUUGCUGGGGCGUACAGCCCAGCCAGUAACACUCAUCGCAGAUGCCAAAUGCACAGUAAAAAAACAGACAUGCAUCACCUGGCAUGUCACCUAUUCUUCUGAUGCACAAAUCACCUAAGAGCUGUAAUUCCUGAUAUCCUUACCUCAGCUCAUGAAGAACUACUUAAUUUGCAGCAGGAGGCAGUAGGAUGAUUUUCAUUCCUGCUUUGGAUUUGCUCUUAAGCUUUCUUAUUUCCUACAUUAGCCUACAGCCAUUUCCUUUUGCUGGCAAGCAGCUAAGGAAGAGGCAGAGCUGGAGAAAGUUUUUGCAGUGAGCGACUUUUCUGCAGCUUGCUCCCUGACUCAAGAACAGUCUUCUUCCCUAAGGACCCUUCCAGCUGCUGGCUCCUGCUUGCCCUAGCACUGGUGACACACAGAAUUCUCUACUGACUAACAAUUGCAGCCGGAGAACCAUGGGCAGCCUUCAUGCCCUGUACUAGUUACAGACUUUACAACAGAGGAACUAGGAGGAGACAUCAGACUGAGAUGCUGCUUGCUGAAGAAAAAGUAUGAAAUGAUGAUGAUAUGAAGUGGUUUUUUGCUGUUCUGAUAACCACACUGACAUCUGUGAGCUUUUCCAGAGAGGCUUGAAGGUCUCUUCAGAUCUCCACGUUCAUUUUAGACCAGAGGUUCACCUCUGCGUUACACAAAAGACUUUUGCACGCAGCUGGGCUGUGGGAAAAUGUUGGGAAUUUAGAAAGCGUCAGAGGGUUUACCUCAGUGACAGCAAUGCAAAACACUGCUGACAGAAUGCUGCUGAGAGAAAAAGAAACAAGUGUUUAUGAACUUUAAUAUCUCUGGGGGUUUUGUUUUUGAGUAUUUUAUGUAUCUUGGUGACGAGCCAGUGAAAGUUUCCAUGCUUACCAUGCAGUCUUACUUGGCUGCGGCACGUUUUCUAGAACAGAAAUGGUUUGAAUUAGUGUAAAGGUGCAGAUGAGGUUAAUGGCAUUAAGAGGAGGAAAAAAAGAAGCAAGUUGUCUUUGGCAGUUGUGUUGUAUGCAAGCAAAUAUCUCAAUAGCAAGAGUGUGAAAAGUAAGGAGAAAUGAAAUUGUUAAUGAACUGGCCCUUUGGAACUGAAA
RNAcentral lists this long non-coding RNA (1505 nucleotides) under Coturnix japonica (Japanese quail). RNAcentral describes it as "lncRNA (ENSCJPG00005010605.1)". Lineage: Eukaryota; Metazoa; Chordata; Aves; Galliformes; Phasianidae. The record is from RNAcentral.